RNAcentral lists this ribosomal RNA (495 nucleotides) under uncultured bacterium. RNAcentral describes it as "bacterial SSU rRNA". It matches the Rfam family "Bacterial small subunit ribosomal RNA", at positions 8 to 518 of the family's 1533-position model. The record is from RNAcentral.
AGAGUAUCCUGGCUUAGAACGAACGCUGGUGGCGUGUCUUAUACAUGCAAGUCGAGCGGUGCAGCAAUGCAUAGCGGCGAACGGGUGAGUAACACGUAAGCAAUCUGCCCCCUGCUUGGGAAUAGCCGUGCCAACGCGCGGAUAAUACCGAAUAUCGUGGCCUUCCGCAUGGGAGGUUGACAAAAGAUUUAUCGGCAGGGGAUGAGCUUGCGUCCGAUUAGCUAGUUGGCGGGCAACGGCCCACCAAGGCGACGAUCGGUAGCCGGCCUGAGAGGGCGAUCGGCCACAUUGGGACUGAGAUACGGCCCAGACUCCUACGGGAGGCAGCAGUAGGGAAUAUUGCACAAUGGGGGAAACCCUGAUGCAGCAACGCCAACCGUGUGGGAAGAAGCAUUUCGGUGUGUAAACCACUGUCGUGAGGGAAUAAGGCAUUUUUUCGGAGAUGUUGAAUGUACCUCGAAAGGAAGCACCGGCAAACUUCGUGCCAGCCGCGGC